GAAUAUUGGACAAUGGGGGCAACCCUGAUCCAGCCAUGCCGCGUGAGUGAAGAAGGCCUUAGGGUCGUAAAGCUCUUUCACCGGUGAAGAUAAUGACGGUAGCCGGAGAAGAAGCCCCGGCUAACUCCGUGCCAGCCGCCGCGGUAAUACGGAGGGGGCUAGCGUUGUUCGGAAUUACUGGGCGUAAAGCGCACGUAGGCGGCUUAUCAAGUCAGAGGUGAAAUCCCGGAGCUUAACUUCGGAACUGCCUUUGAGACUGAUAGGCUUGAGUUCGGGAGAGGUAAGUGGAAUACCUAGUGUAGAGGUGAAAUUCGUAGAUAUUAGGUGGAACACCAGUGGCGAAGGCGACUUACUGGACCGAUACUGACGCUGAGGUGCGAAAGCGUGGGGAGCAAACAGG
RNAcentral lists this ribosomal RNA (400 nucleotides) under uncultured bacterium. RNAcentral describes it as "bacterial SSU rRNA". It matches the Rfam family "Bacterial small subunit ribosomal RNA", at positions 359 to 776 of the family's 1533-position model. The record is from RNAcentral.